CAGGGGGAGCUUGCUCCCCGCUGACGAGCGGCGGACGGGUGAGUAAUGCAUAGGAAACUGCCCAGUAGUGGGGGAUAGCCCGGGGAAACCCGGAUUAAUACCGCAUACGCCCUUCGGGGGAAAGCAGGGGAUCUUCGGACCUUGCGCUAUUGGAUGUGCCUAUGUCGGAUUAGCUAGUUGGUGGGGUAAGAGCCUACCAAGGCGACGAUCCGUAGCUGGUCUGAGAGGAUGAUCAGCCACAUCGGGACUGAGACACGGCCCGAACUCCUACGGGAGGCAGCAGUGGGGAAUAUUGGACAAUGGGGGCAACCCUGAUCCAGCCAUGCCGCGUGUGUGAAGA
RNAcentral lists this ribosomal RNA (340 nucleotides) under Marinobacter sp. Ar-46. Its description in RNAcentral is "bacterial SSU rRNA". It matches the Rfam family "Bacterial small subunit ribosomal RNA", at positions 70 to 411 of the family's 1533-position model. Lineage: Bacteria; Pseudomonadati; Pseudomonadota; Gammaproteobacteria; Pseudomonadales; Marinobacteraceae. The record is from RNAcentral.